Molecule: ribosomal RNA, 439 nt
Filed under: uncultured Rhodococcus sp.
Lineage: Bacteria; Bacillati; Actinomycetota; Actinomycetes; Mycobacteriales; Nocardiaceae
Description: partial 16S ribosomal RNA
Rfam family: Bacterial small subunit ribosomal RNA
Source: RNAcentral
ACGGGAGGCAGCAGUGGGGAAUAUUGCACAAUGGGCGAAAGCCUGAUGCAGCGACGCCGCGUGAGGGAUGACGGCCUUCGGGUUGUAAACCUCUUUCAGCAGGGACGAAGCGCAAGUGACUGUACCUGCAGAAGAAGCACCGGCUAACUACGUGCCAGCAGCCGCGGUAAUACGUAGGGUGCGAGCGUUGUCCGGAAUUACUGGGCGUAAAGAGUUCGUAGGCGGUUUGUCGCGUCGUGUGUGAAAUCCCGCAGCUCAACUGCGGGCUUGCAGGCGAUACGGGCAGACUUGAGUACUGCAGGGGAGACUGGAAUUCCUGGUGUAGCGGUGAAAUGCGCAGAUAUCAGGAGGAACACCGGUGGCGAAGGCGGGUCUCUGGGCAGUAACUGACGCUGAGGAACGAAAGCGUGGGUAGCGAACAGGAUUAGAUACCCUGGUA